Molecule: ribosomal RNA, 435 nt
Filed under: uncultured bacterium
Lineage: Bacteria
Description: bacterial SSU rRNA
Rfam family: Bacterial small subunit ribosomal RNA
Source: RNAcentral
UCGAGGAUCUUCGGCAAUGGGCGCAAGCCUGACCGAGCGACGCCGCGUGUGCGAUGAAGGCCUUCGGGUUGUAAAGCACUGUCGGGGGGAAGAAAGACCCGCAAGGGUUUGAUCGACCUCCGGAGGAAGCACGGGCUAAGUUCGUGCCAGCAGCCGCGGUAAGACGAACCGUGCGAACGUUAUUCGGAAUCACUGGGCUUAAAGGGCGCGUAGGCGGGCUCGCCAGUCAGGGGUGAAAGCCUCCAGCUCAACUGGAGAAGUGCCUUUGAUACUGCGAGUCUCGAGGGAGGUAGGGGCGUGCGGAACUUCCGGUGGAGCGGUGAAAUGCGUAGAUAUCGGAAGGAACACCGGUGGCGAAAGCGGCGCGCUGGACCUCUUCUGACGCUGAGGCGCGAAAGCCAGGGGAGCAAACGGGAUUAGAUACCCCCGUAGUCC